Molecule: ribosomal RNA, 468 nt
Filed under: uncultured bacterium
Lineage: Bacteria
Description: partial 16S ribosomal RNA
Rfam family: Bacterial small subunit ribosomal RNA
Source: RNAcentral
GACGAACGCUGGCGGCGUGCUUAACACAUGCAAGUCGAACGGUGAAGCUCCAGCUUGCUGGAGUGGAUCAGUGGCGAACGGGUGAGUAACACGUGAGCAACCUGCCCCUGACUCUGGAAUAAGCGCUGGAAACGGCGUCUAAUACUGGAUACGAGAAGGGUCCGCAUGGGCACUUUCUGGAAAGUUUUUCGGUUGGGGAUGGGCUCGCGGCCUAUCAGCUUGUUGGUGAGGUAAUGGCUCACCAAGGCGACGACGGGUAGCCGGCCUGAGAGGGCGACCGGCCACACUGGGACUGAGACACGGACCAGACUCCUACGGGAGGCAGCAGUGGGGAAUAUUGCACAAUGGGCGAAAGCCUGAUGCAGCGACGCCGCGUGAGGGAUGACGGCCUUCGGGUUGUAAACCUCUUUCAGCAGGGAAGAAGCGAAAGUGAGGGUACCUGCAGAAGAAGCACCGGCUAACUACGUG